RNAcentral lists this long non-coding RNA (502 nucleotides) under Cricetulus griseus (Chinese hamster). Its description in RNAcentral is "lncRNA (ENSCGRG00000026601.1)". Lineage: Eukaryota; Metazoa; Chordata; Mammalia; Rodentia; Cricetidae. The record is from RNAcentral.
UUUGGCUGUACUUCUGGUUUUCAGAAGAUCUCAUAGUUGAUUAGAAAAAUAAUCUGUUAAAACUUUCCAGGUCAUGAAAGCAUAUUGUUGGGAGAAAAAACAACAAGUUGGAAUUAAAAACAAACAAACCAAGUAGGCUAGGCAAGGUCUUAGGCGUGACUGGAACCAGCUGAAGAAAAUGUGGCCCCAUCAGAACGUUCAGCAAGUCUUUGUAAUAAAUGCCCUUGGCAAGCAAACACCAUCAGAGCAAGAACUACUUUCCAGUACCAUUGAGAGGAAAGCACUGGCAAGCACUGUGGAAAUGUGCUUCAGCUACCCCAAUCCUACAUCAAUGUUGAGAUGACCCAGGACUGAACUGGAAGUAUACUGAGCUGAUCCUAAACCUGCCAAGAUGGGGUAACAGCAGAUGGAACUCCAAAAAUCUACUCAACAAAGGUAACACAGAUACCCAUUCCAAAAGACACCACCAAUGACAUAACUCCAGGUGUCCAAUUUCCAACAC